CCUACGGGUGGCUGCAGUAGGGAAUAUUGGUCAAUGGACGCAAGUCUGAACCAGCCAUGCCGCGUGCAGGAUGAAGGCCCUAUGGGUUGUAAACUGCUUUUAUCAGGGAAGAAACCCUUCUACGUGUAGGAGGCUGACGGUACCUGAGGAAUAAGGAUCGGCUAACUUCGUGCCAGCAGCCGCGGUAAUACGAAGGAUCCUAGCGUUGUCCGGAUUUACUGGGUUUAAAGGGUGCGUAGGCGGAUUUUUAAGUCAGUGGUGAAAGCCGGCAGCUU
RNAcentral lists this ribosomal RNA (275 nucleotides) under uncultured bacterium. RNAcentral describes it as "partial 16S ribosomal RNA". It matches the Rfam family "Bacterial small subunit ribosomal RNA", at positions 338 to 610 of the family's 1533-position model. The record is from RNAcentral.